AAACCCCACAAAUGUCCCCUCAGAACGUCCCCAGACCCCAAAAUGUCCCCUCAGAACGUCCCCAAACCUUCCAAAAUCCAACCAGAAUGUCCCCAAACCCCCCAAAAUCCAACCAGAACGUCCCCAAACCCCCAAAUCUUCAACCAGGACAUCUCCAAACCCCAGAAGAUCCAACCAAGACAUCCCCAAACCCCCAAAUGUCCCCUCAGAACGCCCCCAAACCCCAGAAGAUCCAACCAAGCUGUCCCCAAACCCCAGAAGAUGCAACCGAGAUGUCCCCAAAGCCCCAAAUGUCCCCUCAGAACAUCUCCAAACCCCCAAAAUCCAACCAGGACAUCCCCAAACCCCCACAUCUUCAACCAGGACAUCCCCAAACCCCAGAAUGUCCAACCAAGCUGUCCCCAAAGCCCAGAAGAUCCAACUGAGCUGUCCCCAAACCCCAGAAGAUCCAACCAGGACAUCCCCAAACCCCCCAAAAUCCAACCAGAACAUCCCCAAACCCCCAAAUGUCCCCUCAGAACGCCCCCAAACCCCCCAAAAUCCAACCAGAACGUCCCCAAACCCCCAAAUCUUCAACCAGGACAUCUCCAAACCCCAAAAUGUCCCCUCAGAACAUCUCCAGACCCCCAAAUGUUCAACCAGAACAUCCCCAAAGCCCCCAAAUCCAACCAGGACAUCCCCAAACCCCAAAAUGUCCCCUCAGAACAUCCCCAAACCCCCCAAAAUCCAACCAGGACAUCCCCAAACCCCCACAUCUUCAACCAGAACAUCCCCAAAGCCCAGAAGGUCCAACCAAGCUGUCCCCAAAGCCCAGAAGAUCCAACUGAGAUGUCCCCAAACCCCAGAAGGUCCCCCCAGGACAUCCCCAAAGCCCAGAAGAUCCAACCAAAAUGUCCCCAAACCCCAGAAGAUCCAACCGAGAUGUCCCCAAAGCCCAGAAGAUCCAACUGAGAUGUCCCCAAAGCCCAGAAGGUCCCCCCAGGACACCCCAAAAGGCCCAGGCCCCCCCAGGUGUCCCCACCUCGUAGUAGAGGUCCCCGUGGAUGGUCAGCUUGGGCUUGGUCUGCCACUUGAAGAAGGCGUCGUGCAGCUUCUGGUAAUCGAUGUCGAUCUUGCCCAUCUUGGGCCGAACCUUCUCGCGCAUC
RNAcentral lists this long non-coding RNA (1145 nucleotides) under Parus major (Great Tit). RNAcentral describes it as "lncRNA (ENSPMJG00000002309.1)". The record is from RNAcentral. Lineage: Eukaryota; Metazoa; Chordata; Aves; Passeriformes; Paridae.